RNAcentral lists this ribosomal RNA (800 nucleotides) under uncultured bacterium. RNAcentral's name for it is "bacterial SSU rRNA". It matches the Rfam family "Bacterial small subunit ribosomal RNA", at positions 48 to 861 of the family's 1533-position model. The record is from RNAcentral.
CUAACACAUGCAAGUCGAACGGAAGUUAGAGCUUCGGUUUUAACUUUAGUGGCGAACGGGUGAGUAACGCGUGAGGAACCUGCCUUUCAGUGGGGGACAACAGUUGGAAACGACUGCUAAUACCGCAUGAUGCUUUUGGGAGACAUCUCCUGGAAGCCAAAGCUUUAUGUGCUGAAAGAUGGCCUCGCGUCUGAUUAGCUAGUUGGUGAGGUAACGGCUCACCAAGGCGACGAUCAGUAGCCGGUCUGAGAGGAUGAACGGCCACAUUGGGACUGAGAUACGGCCCAGACUCCUACGGGAGGCAGCAGUGGGGAAUAUUGGGCAAUGGGGGAAACCCUGACCCAGCAACGCCGCGUGAAGGAAGAAGGCCUUCGGGUUGUAAACUUCUUUUACCAGGGACGAAGGACGUGACGGUACCUGGAGAAAAAGCAACGGCUAACUACGUGCCAGCAGCCGCGGUAAUACGUAGGUUGCAAGCGUUGUCCGGAUUUACUGGGUGUAAAGGGCGUGUAGGCGGAGAUGCAAGUUGGGAGUGAAAUCCAUGGGCUCAACCCAUGAACUGCUCUCAAAACUGUAUCCCUUGAGUAUCGGAGAGGCAAGCGGAAUUCCUAGUGUAGCGGUGAAAUGCGUAGAUAUUAGGAGGAACACCAGUGGCGAAGGCGGCUUGCUGGACGACAACUGACGCUGAGGCGCGAAAGCGUGGGGAGCAAACAGGAUUAGAUACCCUGGUAGUCCACGCUGUAAACGAUGAAUACUAGGUGUGGGAGGACUGACCCCUUCCGUGCCGCGGUUAACACAAU